GUGGUAUAUAUACAUAAUGAAGUGUUAUUCAACCAUAAAGAAAACAUAAAAUUAUGUCAUUUGCAUGAAAAUGGAUGGAAUUGGAGAUAAUUGUGUUAGACAAAAUAAGUCAAACUCAGAAAAUCAAGGGUUUUAUGUUUUCUCUCAUAUGUGAAAGCUAGAGAGGAAAAGGAAAGACUGGUGUGAAUCUCAUGAAAAUCAGUGGGAGAUCAGGAGAGGGAAGGAACCAAAGGAUCAGAGGAGAAAAGGGUGGGAGAAAGUGCUGGGAAGUGAUAUUGGCCAACUUAUAUUGUCAUAUUGUGUCAUUGUGUACAUGUACGAAUAUGUCAUAUCAAAUGCUACCAGCUUGUAUACUAUAAUGCAUGAAUAAAGAAGUGACAAAAGAUAUAAAAAUAGGUUUUAAUAUUUAUUUUAAUUAAUAACUUAUAACAAAGAUUGUUUCUUGUGAGGCUUGGAUGGUGGUCUUCAUAUCAAAAGAGAGAAUUAACUGUUGUAGUUUGGGUAUGAGAGGUUCUCCAAAAGCUCACUUGAGAGACAAUGUGAGAUGGUUCAGAGGGGAAAUGAUUGGGCUGUGAGAUCCUUAAGCCAAUCAGUGAAAUAAUGACCUGAUGGGAUUCAUUGAGAAGCAAUUGAAGGCAGGUGGUGUGUAGUUGUAGGUAGCCUGGCUUUGGGGUAUAUAUUUUGUAUGUAGCAAGUGGAUUCUCUCUCUCUCUCUGUCUCUCUCUGUCUCUCUCUGUCUCUCUCUCUCUCUCUCUCUCUCUCUCUCUCUCUCUCUUCUGGUCAUGAUGUGAGCUGCUUCCCUCCAGCACACUCUUCCAACAGGAUGUUCUGCCUCACCUGGAGCACAGAAGAAAUGAGCCAGUGAAAAAGCUGACUUAAAAAAAUAACUAUUCCUCAGUUUUGGUCCACUUUGAUCAUCAAAAUGUUCUGUGAUGUUUUCUUUAAAGGACAGCCUUUGGACUACUAGUG
This 969-nucleotide long non-coding RNA is filed under the name Marmota monax (woodchuck). Lineage: Eukaryota; Metazoa; Chordata; Mammalia; Rodentia; Sciuridae. The record is from RNAcentral.